This 21-nucleotide ribosomal RNA is filed under the name Coscinodon lawianus. RNAcentral describes it as "partial 26S ribosomal RNA". Lineage: Eukaryota; Viridiplantae; Streptophyta; Bryopsida; Grimmiales; Grimmiaceae. The record is from RNAcentral.
CAGACCUCUGAUCAAGGAAAA